This 482-nucleotide ribosomal RNA is filed under the name uncultured bacterium. Its description in RNAcentral is "partial 16S ribosomal RNA". It matches the Rfam family "Bacterial small subunit ribosomal RNA", at positions 30 to 507 of the family's 1533-position model. The record is from RNAcentral.
AUUGAACGCUGGCGGCAUGCCUUACACAUGCAAGUCGAACGGUAACGGGCCUUCGGGUGCCGCCGAGUGGCGCACGGGUGAGUAAUACAUCGGAACGUGCCCGAUCGUGGGGGAUAACGAGGCGAAGGCUUUGCUAAUACCGCAUACGAUCUACGGAUGAAAGCAGGGGACCGCAAGGCCUUGCGCGGACGGAGCGGCCGAUGGCAGAUUAGGUAGUUGGUGGGAUAAAAGCUUACCAAGCCGACGAUCUGUAGCUGGUCUGAGAGGAUGAUCAGCCACACUGGGACUGAGACACGGCCCAGACUCCUACGGGAGGCAGCAGUGGGGAAUUUUGGACAAUGGGCGCAAGCCUGAUCCAGCCAUGCCGCGUGCAGGAUGAAGGCCUUCGGGUUGUAAACUGCUUUUGUACGGAACGAAAAGCCUUCUUUUAAUACAGGAGGGUCAUGACGGUACCGUAAGAAUAAGCACCGGCUAACUACGUG